CACCUCCCAGGAUCACGUCUGGAGAGUAGCCAGUCUCCUGCCAGCUUCGGAAGUGGGAGGGAAAGCAAGGCUGCAGAGACACCCAUUCCAUUCCCAGCUUGCUCAGUAGCUGGUGAUUAGAAGACCCUCUGCAACAGGG
This is a small nucleolar RNA of Lepus europaeus (European hare), 139 nucleotides long. Lineage: Eukaryota; Metazoa; Chordata; Mammalia; Lagomorpha; Leporidae. The record is from RefSeq and is a predicted model, not a curated record.